Maylandia zebra (zebra mbuna) is the source of this 1814-nucleotide RNA transcript. RefSeq lists it as uncharacterized. Lineage: Eukaryota; Metazoa; Chordata; Actinopteri; Cichliformes; Cichlidae. The record is from RefSeq and is a predicted model, not a curated record.
CUGAGCUUUAUAUCGUAUUUCUGGCCUCUCUAAGAAUUUCAACACCAGACUGUGGCUGUAGAUACUUUCCUUUCCCCCGGUGCUGUUGUCAUCUAUUGGCGGCUCGUUGUGUGAGUAACUUUGGGUAAUAACAAGCCCGACUUCUGCGGUUGUACACCAUAUUUGGCCGAAGAGGAAGCCGCGGCUGUAAACACUGACCCACGUUAUCUGCGGCACCUGAAACGGAAGGGUGCAGGAGCACCAGAGGAUGGUGGCCGAAAGGGACAAAGACAUAAGAAAGCUGGGGUCCAAGUCAGACAAAAGUAAAAGUGAGCCGAAGGUGCUGCGGCUUUAGGUGGGCAGAGUGCGGCAGGAUGAACUUUCCUGCUCUGUCAGCAGCGCUGAAAACAGCCGAACAACCACUGAGUCAAGUCUGGUGGUGCAGCUGCUCCUGCACAAAUUUCCCCCAAAUGCCAUGACACAGUGGCGGCUUUUCCCCGUCAACACGCCCACUCUGGUGAGCCCUCACCUGUUAAACAGGACCCCAGUGGCUAUCAUUGGUUGCAGGUGUGUGAGGCCAGUUUGCUGGACCAGCAGGGAGGUAAGUCGGGCUUCCUUGUGAUGGUCAUAAAGUGGUCUCGAGUGAUGGAUCUCCAGGUGUUUUGAAGGCAUGCAGAAGUUGGACCCCAAAGGCCUUCUUCCUUUGACCACAAAGCAGUGGACCUCCACUGCUCACAACAGGGUGGACCCUUGGCUGCUGAUUCUUACCUUCAUGCAGUUGCUCUGACCCUUCAAACAGGACCAGUUUGCCUUGAGAGCCCCUGCCAUCCUCAAACUCCCUCAGAGAGUGGAGCUCUUUGGCUCACCCUGACACUCAAACCCCUCUUAGAGUACAGCUGCUGCUCUGUUUGAGAUGGUCUGGGCAUCUGCUAAGGUAUGCUGAGACGCUUCCUCUGCCGCUGCAGUCGGUACAGGAUUUAAGAACGUUGGAUCACAGACUCUGCACUGAGCCACAGCUGAAGAAGAAAAUGAUCUCUUACUUCGACCUGUCUGGAGGUUUGUCCAACAAACACAGUGUGUGGAGGACAAUGACAAAGCUUUUUACUAACGCUUUGGCCAAAAACAUCAACUGGAGGGGAAGAAAUAACAAGCACAAAGUAGAGAACCUCACCAUCAAGAGAGUUAUCCUCAACGCAGUCAGGCAGAACUCGUUCUGUAAGGAUGCCGUGGACGAGGAGAUAGAGAGGUAUAUAAAGCGAUGGCUGCAGCUGGCAGGAAACCGAGAUGGAGGAAGAAAAAGAAGACAGGAAAAGGGAAAGGAAGCGACCAGCAUGGGGAACUACUGUGUAGAGUAGCACAAAAUGCAUCUGCAGCACAUGUUAUUUUGACUCUUACAUCUACAGCAUGAGAUGAAAAGAAAAAUACUAUCCCUCCAAUGAAUGCUCACAAGGCUGGAUUCAUCAUGUCGUGUUUACCUGUCAUGUGAUGCUACAUGUAAGUUAGGACCUGAUGGACACAACCAGAAACACAAACACAGUUACUUUUUAAAAUAUUAUUUAAAAAAUGCUUGCACUUUUACUGUUAUAGCCAUUGUAGUUUGUUCGAGUUCAUCAUGCAUUACACUACUAUGCAUUUUAAUCAUAUCUCGGCAUCAGUUUAUAAUGCCAUUUCCUAUAAUCAUAAUCAUAUUUAUUCAUUUUACUCUAAAGAUUAUUAAUUUCAUGCAGGAAGAUCUUGUAGUCAUCACUAUUAAAACAUUUAUUGUUUGGGACGUUUAAGGAUGCUGUCUGUUUAUGUCAUGUGUGAGCAUGUCAGUCCCAGCCACGAAACGCACU